UGGGGAAUUUUGGACAAUGGGGGCAACCCUGAUCCAGCAAUGCCGCGUGAGUGAAGAAGGCCUUCGGGUUGUAAAGCUCUUUUGUCAGGGAAGAAACAGCAGCUCUAACACAGUCUGCGAAUGACGGUACCUGAAGAAUAAGCACCGGCUAACUACGUGCCAGCAGCCGCGGUAAUACGUAGGGUGCGAGCGUUAAUCGGAAUUACUGGGCGUAAAGCGUGCGCAGGCGGUUAUACAAGACAGGCGUGAAAUCCCCGGGCUUAACCUGGGAAUGGCGCCUGUGACUGUAUAGCUAGAGUGUGUCAGAGGGGGGUAGAAUUCCACGUGUAGCAGUGAAAUGCGUAGAUAUGUGGAGGAAUACCAAUGGCGAAGGCAGCCCCCUGGGAUAACACUGACGCUCAUGCACGAAAGCGUGGGGAGCAAACAGGAUUAGAUACCCUGGUAGUCCACGCCCUAAACGAUGCUGACUAGUUGUUGGGAAUUUACAUUCUCAGUAACGUAGCUAACGCGUGAAGUCAGCCGCCUGGGGAGUACGGUCGCAAGAUUA
Molecule: ribosomal RNA, 547 nt
Filed under: uncultured bacterium
Lineage: Bacteria
Also listed under: 1 other name
Description: bacterial SSU rRNA
Rfam family: Bacterial small subunit ribosomal RNA
Source: RNAcentral